Molecule: ribosomal RNA, 253 nt
Filed under: uncultured bacterium
Lineage: Bacteria
Description: partial 16S ribosomal RNA
Rfam family: Bacterial small subunit ribosomal RNA
Source: RNAcentral
UACGGGGGGGGCAAGCGUUGUUCGGAAUUACUGGGCGUAAAGCGCGCGUAGGCGGACCUGCAAGUCGGGGGUGAAGGCCCGAGGCUCAACCUCGGAACUGCCUUCGAUACUGCGGGUCUCGAGUCCGGGAGAGGUGAGUGGAAUUCCUAGUGUAGAGGUGAAAUUCGUAGAUAUUAGGAAGAACACCAGUGGCGAAGGCGGCUCACUGGCCCGGUACUGACGCUGAGGCGCGAAAGCGUGGGGAGCAAACAGG